RNAcentral lists this ribosomal RNA (494 nucleotides) under uncultured bacterium. RNAcentral's name for it is "partial 16S ribosomal RNA". It matches the Rfam family "Bacterial small subunit ribosomal RNA", at positions 28 to 507 of the family's 1533-position model. The record is from RNAcentral.
GACGAACGCUGGCGGCGUGCUUAACACAUGCAAGUCGAACGGUGAAGCGCCUUCCUUUUUGGUGGGUGUGGAUGAGUGGCGAACGGGUGAGUAACACGUGAGUAACCUGCCCCCUUCUUCUGGAUAACCGCAUGAAAGUGUGGCUAAUACGGGAUAUUCUGGGUCUGUCGCAUGAUGGGUCUGGGAAAGAUAUUGUUUCGGUGGGGGAUGGGCUCGCGGCCUAUCAGCUUGUUGGUGGGGUGAUGGCCUACCAAGGCGGUGACGGGUAGCCGGCCUGAGAGGGUGGACGGUCACACUGGGACUGAGACACGGCCCAGACUCCUACGGGAGGCAGCAGUGGGGAAUAUUGCACAAUGGGCGCAAGCCUGUUGCAGCGACGCCGCGUGAGGGAUGGAGUCCUUCGGGUUGUGAACCUCUUUCGCCAGUGAAGCAGGCCUGCCUCGUUUGUGGGUGGGUUGACGGUAGCUGGAUAAGAAGCGCCGGCUAACUACGUG